UACGUAGGGUCCGAGCGUUGUCCGGAAUUACUGGGCGUAAAGAGCUCGUAGGUGGUUUGUCGCGUUGUUCGUGAAAACUCACAGCUUAACUGUGGGCGUGCGGGCGAUACGGGCAGACUAGAGUACUGCAGGGGAGACUGGAAUUCCUGGUGUAGCGGUGGAAUGCGCAGAUAUCAGGAGGAACACCGGUGGCGAAGGCGGGUCUCUGGGCCGAUACUGACGCUGAGGAGCGAAAGCGUGGGGAGCAAACAGG
Molecule: ribosomal RNA, 253 nt
Filed under: uncultured bacterium
Lineage: Bacteria
Description: partial 16S ribosomal RNA
Rfam family: Bacterial small subunit ribosomal RNA
Source: RNAcentral